GGAGGCGGCAGACAGACGGACGCUGCAGUUGCCGCUGAUGGCGGAGAGUGAGCCUGUCAUCGCGAGUGGCCGCUACUGUUUCUGUCAAGUUCAACCCCCCCCCCCCCCGGCCGGGUAAUCCACACAAACCACAAAUAAGUAACUCGGAUUGAGCUCCUGUUUCCAUCGCUCUCCCUGCCAACGGAAAUCCGCCGGUUAGACGAGAAGGUGUGGGCUGUUUGUCUCCGAGGGUGAGGGUGAGGGUGAGGGUGAGGGUGUCCUCAGGACCUCAUCCCCAGCAGGAGGACAUUUCACAUAAUGGAAGAGGUUUAAACUCCUGUGUGAGAGACAGACCCUGAAGCUAACGGUUGCCAGAAUGGGCAUCCCUACAGAAACUAACAUGGAAUGUCAGCAAAGGUCCUUGUCACAGUACACUGCAUAAAAGAAUUAACAGAUGAGGUAACAUCAUCAGUGAGAGUUUCUGGUGAAGUGCUGGUGGUGUGUCCUGGCUCUCUACUUAUAGGUCUUGGUUCCUUAAGCAAAUCAGGUAACAGUGCCACUACACCGCUGAUGUUGGGAACAAACUUCCAAUAGAACCCGCUGAGUCCGAAGAAUCGAAGCACCUCUUUCUUCAAGGUUGGUCGUGACAAUUCCUCGAUGGCCUUCGUCUUUGCGUUCCGUGGGGUCAACCUUCCAUGACCGAUGUUACGUCCCAAAUACGUCAUCUCUGCUUUCGUGAAUUCUGUUUUAUUUAUGUUUGUCACCAGUUUUGUUUCUCGUUCAAAGAGCUCUGCUAACUGUACCAUGUGAUCUUUCCAGGACUUACUAAAGAUCACUGCAUCAUCCAAAUAGACUGCACGGUUCGUUAACCCAGCCACAACUCUGUUCAUGAGUCUUUGGAAUGUGGCGGGCGCGUUCUUCAUUCCAAAACACAUUACGUUAAACUGAAACAGCCCAUGUGGGGUUACAAACGCAGACAUUUCUUUCACCAUCUCUGAGAUAGGUACUUGUCAGUAAUCAUGCAUUAAGUCCCAACUUGGUGAUAUAACUGGCUUGUCCGACUUUCUCAAUACAGUCCUCCAAUCUAGGAAUUGGAUAUGAGCCUGAUCUUGUAACAGCGUUGACCUUCCGAUAAUCCACACAGAAUGGUUGAGACCCAUCCGGUUUAGGAACUAAGACAAUAGGUGAACUCCACUUGCUGUGGUUUGGUUCGAUGAUGUCUUUGUUGAGCAUGGCCUCCACCUCCAUCUGAACCUGUCUGGCUUUGAGAGGAUUAAGCCAAUAGGGGUGUUGUUUUAUCGGAGCAGUAUUCCCUAUGUUUACUUUAUGUACAAAAGCAUUAGUCCUCCCCAUCUGAUAUUUGUCCUUAUAAUGCAGUAACAAAUCCUUCAACUGUGUUCUACGUGGCUGAGACAGAUAACUUACUAAUCUAUCCCACUCUACGAAGAUUUCUUCAUUAUUUAAUCUAUUUUGAAGUGCAUCAAAAUCCACAUCAUUUGGAUUGGAUUCCUCACUCUGCAGGGCAGUCACCAACACCUGUUUCUCUAGUUCUUUCUCUUUAGUAUAAUAUGGUUUCAACAUGUUCACAUGACAUACUCAAUACUUUCUUUUUCUAUCGAGCACCUUUACUAGAUAGUUCACCUGACUCAACGUUUUCUCAAUUUGAAGGGAUGUCCUAUCACAACCAGUACUAACAUGUUAUCCCCUCAGGAAAACAUCCAAGUCUCAGAGAUGUUAUUUGCCACCUGCUUCAUUCUACACUGUAGAUGCUGUUUAGCUAACUCACCUACUCUGCUUAAUCUCUCCCUCACCUCUGAUACAUAAUCUAAGUGUGAGAUCUCAGACUUUGGUCCUGUCAAUUUUUCUUUAAUUAGUUUCAAAGGGCCUCUCACUUUAUGACCGAAUAUUAACUCAAAGGGAGUGAACUGAAUAGAUUCAUUUGGGUCAUCUCUCACGGCAAACAAUAUGAAUGAGAUACCUUUAUCCCAAUCUUAAGGGUAAUCCUGACAGUAUGCUCUCAACAUGGUCUUCAAGGUCUGAUGCCAACGUUCUAAAGUUCCCUGGGAUUCAGAAUGAUAUACACUGGAUUUAAAGUACUGUCUACCUAAGCUAUCCAUAACCUCCUUAAACAGCCCAGCCUUGGUCUGACUGAAUCUCUCUGGGUAGCCCAUACCGUGUGAAGAAAGCUACUAACUCCAUUACCCUUUUGCCUUGAAACUCCGUAAUGGAAUUGCCUCCGGAAAUCUGGUAGACACAUCCAUUAUGGUUAACAAGUACUGGUUCCCACUUGUGGUUCUCGGGAGGAGACUUACACAAUCAGUUAUAACCCGCGUGAAAAGUUCUUCAAAUGUGGGAAUUGGCAACAAAGGGGCUGGUUUUAUUCCUGUCUGUGGCUUACCCACCAUUUGGUAUGUAGGGCAUGUUCAGCAAAAGUUAACCACAUCUUGUGCAUUCCAGGCCAAUUAAAAUGUUUUUGUUCCUUAGCCUGAGUCUGUUGUACCCCUAGGUGACCUCCUACAGAUAGUUCACGUGCUACCUGUAACACUUCCUCCUGUCUGUAUGCUACCGGCAACACAAUCCUGUGCACUUUGGCCCAUUUCUCCUCUGCACUAUCCUGCUGUGGUCUCCAUUUCUGUCUGAGGAUUCUAUCUUUCAGGUAAUAACCCUCCGGAAUAUUCUCUGCCUCCUUUUCAGAGUACACCUCCACAUAUAUAUUUGUUAUCGUCUUGUCUUGCUGUUGCAAGUCUCUUAGUCUUUCAGCAGUAAACACUUCUGUCUGACCCUCUGCCUGUUCGCUCUACACUUGGUUUCGUAGUAUAGGAUCUCCCUUUCUCCCAAAUUCUAUCCCUCAAGGGAUGAAAUUCUGGCCAGGAGCUUAUCUUAUACACCAGCAUGUACUCAUCUGCUAAUUCUGCUGCCCUUCUCACUUCCUGAACUUUCUGUUACUCCAUGUGAAUUCUUACCAUUUCUGGAAAUGAGUUUUUAUACUCCUCCAGCAGGAUAAUCUCUCUUAGCCUCAAAUGUCCUAACUAUUUUCACACCACAUACCCAUCUAUCAAAAUGACUAUGUUUAAUUCUUUCAUAAAUCCGACCUGGUUCCUUCGUUGUUUCUGAACCGCUGUCUAUAUGCUUCUGGUAAGCACUUAAAUUCAUGAAUGCGUUUAUUGAUAGAGUUCUGGUUAGAAUGCUAUGCCUGUAUGAAUUCUCAUGCUUGUCUUUGUUUCGCCUGUCCGAGUAUAUGUGUUGUUGUCCAGUCAAAGUGGUGAGCUUCUUUGUCUGGAUGUAUAGAAACUAGUGAUAUUGGGUGGUAUCUUUUGGUGGCCAGUUGGUGUUCAUGUAUCCUGGUGGCAAGUGUCCUGCUAGUUUGUUUGAUGUGAUGUUUUUUCCAGUUCUUGCAAGGUAUCUUGUAAAUGAUGUUAGUUUUGUUGGUGGUAUCUAAUAGAUCCUUCAGGUUCGUUAGUCGUUGAUUAAGUAUAUUGGUAAGUUUGUGGGCUACCAUGAUGCCAAGGGGUCUGAGUAGUCUGGAAGUAAUUUCUGAUAUGUCUUUGAUGUAAGGUAGUGUGGCUAUAAUUUUUGGUUGUGUUGUGUCUGCUUGUUUGGGUUUGUUUCUGAGGAAUCGGCAGAUUGUGUUUAUUGGGUACCAGUUUUUCUUGAAAAUGUUGUAUAGAUAUUUUUCUUCAACUGUAAAAAAAACACAACAUUGGACAAAUA
Molecule: long non-coding RNA, 3690 nt
Organism: Hemiscyllium ocellatum (epaulette shark)
Lineage: Eukaryota; Metazoa; Chordata; Chondrichthyes; Orectolobiformes; Hemiscylliidae
Exons: 4
Source: RefSeq, a predicted model, not a curated record